This is a long non-coding RNA of Alligator sinensis (Chinese alligator), 700 nucleotides long. RefSeq lists it as uncharacterized. The record is from RefSeq and is a predicted model, not a curated record. Lineage: Eukaryota; Metazoa; Chordata; Crocodylia; Alligatoridae. The transcript is spliced from 3 exons.
CCUCCACAGAGUUGCUUCCCUUAAGCCCGGUGUCCCUUGCUUCCUCAGCGCCUCCAGCUCUCCCUGCCAUCUUGCUGCCUGAAUCAGUCUCUUCCGGUUCCUGUGUUGCUCUUUUGCCUGCCCCACAUCUCAUUUUAUCCUGGACCUCCAGCUGACUCCCCCUCCCUCUCCUGAAACACCAGGUGAAGAAGGAGCCCUGUGGAGUUCUUUGCAAUACAGGACUGUUCAUCAGCUUAGCAGUGCAAAUGGGGCCAAAAGAAGCCUUGCCACUGAUCUGGUUUCUGUGGUAUAGUAUUUGCCAUGUCAUUCAACCAUGAUGCCUUUUAUUGUAUCUACAGCACCUGGGAUUCCAAGAGGGUUUCCUUUCCCUAUACUAGCCAAGCCUAGGACUGCUGAGACACAUAAAUAAAUACCUGUGUAAAAAUCUGUACUUAUUUAAACUGUAGUGGUAGCCAUGCUAAAAUGAACAUAACCAUGCAAAUCUAAUUGCACAGUUAAUACCUUUAUUAUUUAUACAAGCAUAUCCAGGGUGAGCAGGAUCCUUCCAGAAGCCUGAACAGAGUUAAAUGGAGGUAAGAGCAGCUUUAAAGUGCAGCCAUUUUCCCUAAGGUAUCACCAACGGAGACUUCCAGGCACCUUAGACACUGCCUCUCUCUUUCUAGCCACCAACUUCCAUCUUGGGAACUGUACUGUUGCUGCU